This 170-nucleotide ribosomal RNA is filed under the name Weissella bombi. Its description in RNAcentral is "16S rRNA. Bacterial SSU". It matches the Rfam family "Bacterial small subunit ribosomal RNA", at positions 1 to 137 of the family's 1533-position model. The record is from RNAcentral. Lineage: Bacteria; Bacillati; Bacillota; Bacilli; Lactobacillales; Lactobacillaceae.
UUUAAAAUGAGAGUUUGAUCCUGGCUCAGGAUGAACGCUGGCGGCGUGCCUAAUACAUGCAAGUCGAACGCUUUGUGCUUAAUUGAGAUGACGAGCUUGCUCUGAUUUGAUUUUUUGAUUUCAAAGAGUGGCGAACGGGUGAGUAACACGUGGGUAACCUACCUCUUAGC